GACGAACGCUGGCGGCGUGCUUAACACAUGCAAGUCGAACGGUAAGGCCCUUCGGGGUACACGAGUGGCGAACGGGUGAGUAACACGUGGGUGAUCUGCCCUGCACUUCGGGAUAAGCCUGGGAAACUGGGUCUAAUACCGGAUAGGACCCUGGGAUGCAUGUCCUGGGGUGGAAAGCUUUUGCGGUGUGGGAUGGGCCCGCGGCCUAUCAGCUUGUUGGUGGGGUGAUGGCCUACCAAGGCGACGACGGGUAGCCGGCCUGAGAGGGUGACCGGCGAGACUGGGACUGGGAGACGGCCCAGGCUCCUACGGGAGGCAGCAGUGGGGAAUAUUGCACAAUGGGGGCAAGCCUGAUGCAGCGACGCCGCGUGAGGGAUGACGGCCUUCGGGUUGUAGACCUCUUUCAGCACCGGUGAAGCGCAAGUGACGGUAGGUGCAGAAGAAGGACCGGCCAACUACGUGCCAGCAGCCGCCGUAA
This 478-nucleotide ribosomal RNA is filed under the name uncultured bacterium. RNAcentral describes it as "partial 16S ribosomal RNA". It matches the Rfam family "Bacterial small subunit ribosomal RNA", at positions 28 to 523 of the family's 1533-position model. The record is from RNAcentral.